GAUGAAGAACGCAGCGAAAUGCGAUACGUAAUGUGAAUUGCAAAUUCAGUGAAUCAUCGAGUCUUUGAACGCACAUUUCGCCCCCUGGUAUUCCGGGGGGCAUGCCUGUCCGAGCGUCAUUGCUGCCCUCAAGCACGGCUUGUGUGUUGGGCCCCGUCCUCCGAUCCCGGGGGACGGGCCCGAAAGGCAGCGGCGGCACCGCGUCCGGUCCUCGAGCGUAUGGGGCUUUGUCACCCGCUCUGUAGGCCCGGCCGGCGCUUGCCGAUCAACCCAAAUUUUUAUCCAGGUUGACCUCGGAUCAGGUAGGGAUACCCGCUGAACUUAAGCAUAUCAAUAAGCGGAGGA
RNAcentral lists this unclassified non-coding RNA (345 nucleotides) under soil metagenome. RNAcentral's name for it is "partial contains 5.8S ribosomal RNA, internal transcribed spacer 2, and large subunit ribosomal RNA". The stretch from base 1 to 119 matches the Rfam family "5.8S ribosomal RNA", at positions 35 to 154 of the family's 154-position model. The record is from RNAcentral.